Molecule: ribosomal RNA, 126 nt
Filed under: uncultured Achromobacter sp.
Lineage: Bacteria; Pseudomonadati; Pseudomonadota; Betaproteobacteria; Burkholderiales; Alcaligenaceae
Description: partial 16S ribosomal RNA
Rfam family: Bacterial small subunit ribosomal RNA
Source: RNAcentral
ACUCCUACGGGAGGCAGCAGUGGGGAAUUUUGGACAAUGGGGGAAACCCUGAUCCAGCCAUCCCGCGUGUGCGAUGAAGGCCUUCGGGUUGUAAAGCACUUUUGGUCAGGAAAGAAACUGUCAUUG